UUCACUUUGGUAGCACAUAUACAAAAACCAGAAGGACACAGAAAAGAUUGGCAUGGUCCCUGUGCAAGAAUGACCAAUCAAUUGGUGAAAUGUUCGGUACUUGG
RNAcentral lists this small nuclear RNA (104 nucleotides) under Mus pahari (shrew mouse). The record is from RNAcentral. Lineage: Eukaryota; Metazoa; Chordata; Mammalia; Rodentia; Muridae.